AUUUAUAUAGUAUAAAAGUAUAUAUGACUUCCAAUCAUAAGGACUACAUAACCGUAGUAUAAAUA
This 65-nucleotide transfer RNA is filed under the name Satanas sp. KW-2016. Its description in RNAcentral is "tRNA-Gly". It matches the Rfam family "tRNA". Rfam says of the family: Transfer RNA (tRNA) molecules are approximately 80 nucleotides in length. Their secondary structure includes four short double-helical elements and three loops (D, anti-codon, and T loops). The record is from RNAcentral. Lineage: Eukaryota; Metazoa; Arthropoda; Insecta; Diptera; Asilidae.